Non-coding RNA from Phrynosoma platyrhinos (Desert horned lizard), 70 nucleotides. The record is from the annotation of a GenBank genome assembly. Lineage: Eukaryota; Metazoa; Chordata; Lepidosauria; Squamata; Phrynosomatidae.
GCGAGUGUGGCAUAGUGGUUUGAGCACUUGACUAUGACUGCAGAGACCAGGGUUCAAUUCCCGCUCAGCA